Molecule: ribosomal RNA, 253 nt
Filed under: uncultured bacterium
Lineage: Bacteria
Description: partial 16S ribosomal RNA
Rfam family: Bacterial small subunit ribosomal RNA
Source: RNAcentral
UACAGAGGUCUCAAGCGUUGUUCGGAUUCAUUGGGCGUAAAGGGUGCGUAGGCGGCGCCGUAAGUCAGGUGUGAAAUUUCGGAGCUUAACUCCGAAACUGCAUUUGAUACUGCGGUGCCUGAGGACUGGAGAGGAGACUGGAAUUUACGGUGUAGCAGUGAAAUGCGUAGAUAUCGUAAGGAAGACCAGUGGCGAAGGCGGGUCUCUGGACAGUUCCUGACACUGAGACACGAAGGCCAGGGGAGCAAACGGG